GAUGAACGCUGGCGGCGUGCCUAAUACAUGCAAGUCGAGCGAACAGACGAGGAGCUUGCUUCUCUGACGUUAGCGGCGGACGGGUGAGUAACACGUGGAUAACCUACCUAUAAGACUGGGAUAACUUCGGGAAACCGGAGCUAAUACCGGAUAAUAUAUUGAACCGCAUGGUUCAAUAGUGAAAGACGGUUUUGCUGUCACUUAUAGAUGGAUCCGCGCUGCAUUAGCUAGUUGGUAAGGUAACGGCUUACCAAGGCAACGAUGCGUAGCCGACCUGAGAGGGUGAUCGGCCACACUGGAACUGAGACACGGUCCAGACUCCUACGGGAGGCAGCAGUAGGGAAUCUUCCGCAAUGGGCGAAAGCUUGACGGAGCAACGCCGCGUGAGUGAUGAAGGUCUUCGGAUCGUAAAACUCUGUUAUUAGGGAAGAACAAAUGUGUAAGUAACUAUGCACGUCUUGACGGUACCUAAUCAGAAAGCCACGGCUAACUACGUG
This 497-nucleotide ribosomal RNA is filed under the name uncultured bacterium. RNAcentral describes it as "partial 16S ribosomal RNA". It matches the Rfam family "Bacterial small subunit ribosomal RNA", at positions 28 to 507 of the family's 1533-position model. The record is from RNAcentral.